CCAGCGUCCUCUGCUCCUUCUUCAAAGGACCGCUACCUGAGAGGCAGCAGUAGGUGACGGUGAAAGCAGCGGAGCAGAGGAGAAGAUGAGUGCAAUGCUUCAGUCUGGCAGUAAACAGUGAGAGAGGGAUGACAAAAGAAAAGCAGACGAAGAGACAGACAAGAAAGACAGAGGAGGACGGCUCAGGUGGGGGUGGAAUCAUCAAUAACAACGACAGGGCUGACUAAUCCUGGCAGCAGGGGUCUGAAGGCUGACUCAACAUACCCUGAACUGCAUCCCAUCCGAGAUUUAAAACAAUUUCCUCAAAUAAGAACAAUGCUAAAUCGUCUGUGGAUGAGGAUGGGCAGCACAGCAAUAGUGUUCGGGGAGCUGGGCCUGUAAGCAUCUUCCCCUGUCUGACCUGUCUUACUUGCUCAUCUCUGCGCUUAACUGACGGGUGACUACGGCCAGGGACCACUGUUAAAUGUUAGGAGAGUUUCUAUCAGUGCCUGGCAGACCUGUAUCAUAAUGUCCUUUCUGACAUGAAACUCCCUGAGCAUUCACAAGGAAGAAGUGUCUACUGUGAAUCGACGAAUACGGUUUUUCACUGGGCCUCAAAAGGAGAGGUCGGGUCGGUCUCGGUGCCUUGGCAUUUAAAGCUGGACAGGUGCUCCACCUCCAGGAUGUUGCUCUUAAUGGGCAUAGA
Molecule: long non-coding RNA, 685 nt
Organism: Micropterus dolomieu (smallmouth bass)
Lineage: Eukaryota; Metazoa; Chordata; Actinopteri; Centrarchiformes; Centrarchidae
Exons: 4
Source: RefSeq, a predicted model, not a curated record